UAUGGCAUAAAUCUCAGAUCAGUGAGGAAGAGUCCUAGGGAAUUGGAGACGUCGCGAAGGAAUGUUGUAAGGAGAAUUCAAGCCUAAAACGGUUCUGAGCACUGAUUUCAUCAAGCCGAUGGAGGCAACAACAUAUUCCUUAGGGAAAAUUAAGAUGCACAGUAUGCUUCAAGAUGAUGGCCAAGAACAACCAACUCAACGAGCCUUCAGGAAUUCAUGAUUUGAAUAUCAUGUUCAAGGCUGCCUUCUAGAUAAAGAUCAAACCAAGAAAGUCCAUGUGUCACUGCUCCGUGAAGGCUCCGGGUGGAACUCCCUGCCCCACUCCACCUUUAAGAUUUCCAGCACAGUGUCUUCACCUCCUUCAGCGCCCCUGUUUACAUGUCCAUCUCUCUCUUUAGAAGCUACAGACAUCAGCAAACUCGAGAAAAGAAGGUUUGCUCUGGGAGAUUCUACAUGUGACCUGUUUAUAUGUAAUUAUAUUAUCUAUUACUCAAGUAUUUGUCUUGUGCUGUCUAAAUUAUAAGCUUCUCAACUGUUUGCCUUGAGUGAGAUGUGCACGCUAAAGCCUCUCAAUAAAUAUUAAUUGAAUGAAUAAUUGAAAAAAACCCUGACUGCCUUUUUACUUAAAUCCAAGCCUUUGCUAAGUUUUAACUUUC
RNAcentral lists this long non-coding RNA (656 nucleotides) under Homo sapiens (human). Its description in RNAcentral is "HSALNT0206742". Lineage: Eukaryota; Metazoa; Chordata; Mammalia; Primates; Hominidae. The record is from RNAcentral.